Non-coding RNA from Lolium perenne, 464 nucleotides. The record is from RefSeq and is a predicted model, not a curated record. NCBI's taxonomy places the organism in Eukaryota, Viridiplantae, Streptophyta, Magnoliopsida, Poales, Poaceae.
GGUAACAAGAGCAAAGGCUGCUGCUCAUUGUUGGGUUCCGGGACUAGGAAGGAACACUGAAGCUUAUACGUUUUAAAGGAUCAGUUUUGGUGUUCCAUCUUCUCUAUCAAAGCCAUAGGGCUUGAACCCGCUGCUCCGCUCUAAUAUGGCAGCAGCUGGGAGUUGGUGACAGAGCAGGUUUGGACGGGGCUACCUUAUCCUGUUUUUUUGGUUUAACCCAUUUGCCUUAUUUAUAUGUACUUUAGCUCCCCAGUUAUAUUAGCUAUUUAGCUUAGACACCAUCGAGUAUUUGUUAAAUAUGGUCCAAGUGUUAUUUGUUAAAUGCUUCUACCGCCAGUUGUCUUCCUCAAACAAUGCAGCAUACAUGUAAUAUUCAGAAAAAGAGUAGAAUGAAACAUAUUAUUGUAAUAUGAGCUAUUUACUAUGGUGCUACCUUUUAAUUCUAUCCUUUGUGUUGUAUGCCA